This 2763-nucleotide ribosomal RNA is filed under the name Escherichia coli. RNAcentral's name for it is "bacterial LSU rRNA". It matches the Rfam family "Bacterial large subunit ribosomal RNA". Lineage: Bacteria; Pseudomonadati; Pseudomonadota; Gammaproteobacteria; Enterobacterales; Enterobacteriaceae. The record is from RNAcentral.
UUAAGCGACUAAGCGUACACGGUGGAUGCCCUGGCAGUCAGAGGCGAUGAAGGACGUGCUAAUCUGCGAUAAGCGUCGGUGAGGUGAUAUGAACCGUUAUAACCGGCGAUUUCCGAAUGGGGAAACCCAGUGUGUUUCGACACACUAUCAUUAACUGAAUCCAUAGGUUAAUGAGCGAUACAGGGUGACAGCCCCGUACACAAAAAUGCACAUAUUGUGAGCUCGAUGAGUAGGGCGGGACACGUGGUAUCCUGUCUGAAUAUGGGGGGACCAUCCUCCAAGGCUAAAUACUCCUGACUGACCGAUAGUGAACCAGUACCGUGAGGGAAAGGCGAAAAGAACCCCGGCGAGGGGAGUGAAAAAGAACCUGAAACCGUGUACGUACAAGCAGUGGGAGCCUCUUAAUGGGGUGACUGCGUACCUUUUGUAUAAUGGGUCAGCGACUUAUAUUCUGUAGCAAGGUUAACCGAAUAGGGGAGCCGGAGGGAAACCGAGUCUUAACUGGGCGUUAAGUUGCAGGGUAUAGACCCGAAACCCGGUGAUCUAGCCAUGGGCAGGUUGAAGGUUGGGUAACACUAACUGGAGGACCGAACCGACUAAUGUUGAAAAAUUAGCGGAUGACUUGUGGCUGGGGGUGAAAGGCCAAUCAAACCGGGAGAUAGCUGGUUCUCCCCGAAAGCUAUUUAGGUAGCGCCUCGUGAAUUCAUCUCCGGGGGUAGAGCACUGUUUCGGCAAGGGGGUCAUCCCGACUUACCAACCCGAUGCAAACUGCGAAUACCGGAGAAUGUUAUCACGGGAGACACACGGCGGGUGCUAACGUCCGUCGUGAAGAGGGAAACAACCCAGACCGCCAGCUAAGGUCCCAAAGUCAUGGUUAAGUGGGAAACGAUGUGGGAAGGCCCAGACAGCCAGGAUGUUGGCUUAGAAGCAGCCAUCAUUUAAAGAAAGCGUAAUAGCUCACUGGUCGAGUCGGCCUGCGCGGAAGAUGUAACGGGGCUAAACCAUGCACCGAAGCUGCGGCAGCGACGCUUAUGCGUUGUUGGGUAGGGGAGCGUUCUGUAAGCCUGCGAAGGUGUGCUGUGAGGCAUGCUGGAGGUAUCAGAAGUGCGAAUGCUGACAUAAGUAACGAUAAAGCGGGUGAAAAGCCCGCUCGCCGGAAGACCAAGGGUUCCUGUCCAACGUUAAUCGGGGCAGGGUGAGUCGACCCCUAAGGCGAGGCCGAAAGGCGUAGUCGAUGGGAAACAGGUUAAUAUUCCUGUACUUGGUGUUACUGCGAAGGGGGGACGGAGAAGGCUAUGUUGGCCGGGCGACGGUUGUCCCGGUUUAAGCGUGUAGGCUGGUUUUCCAGGCAAAUCCGGAAAAUCAAGGCUGAGGCGUGAUGACGAGGCACUACGGUGCUGAAGCAACAAAUGCCCUGCUUCCAGGAAAAGCCUCUAAGCAUCAGGUAACAUCAAAUCGUACCCCAAACCGACACAGGUGGUCAGGUAGAGAAUACCAAGGCGCUUGAGAGAACUCGGGUGAAGGAACUAGGCAAAAUGGUGCCGUAACUUCGGGAGAAGGCACGCUGAUAUGUAGGUGAAGCGACUUGCUCGUGGAGCUGAAAUCAGUCGAAGAUACCAGCUGGCUGCAACUGUUUAUUAAAAACACAGCACUGUGCAAACACGAAAGUGGACGUAUACGGUGUGACGCCUGCCCGGUGCCGGAAGGUUAAUUGAUGGGGUUAGCGGUAACGCGAAGCUCUUGAUCGAAGCCCCGGUAAACGGCGGCCGUAACUAUAACGGUCCUAAGGUAGCGAAAUUCCUUGUCGGGUAAGUUCCGACCUGCACGAAUGGCGUAAUGAUGGCCAGGCUGUCUCCACCCGAGACUCAGUGAAAUUGAACUCGCUGUGAAGAUGCAGUGUACCCGCGGCAAGACGGAAAGACCCCGUGAACCUUUACUAUAGCUUGACACUGAACAUUGAGCCUUGAUGUGUAGGAUAGGUGGGAGGCUUUGAAGUGUGGACGCCAGUCUGCAUGGAGCCGACCUUGAAAUACCACCCUUUAAUGUUUGAUGUUCUAACGUUGGCCCCUGAUCGGGGUUGCGGACAGUGUCUGGUGGGUAGUUUGACUGGGGCGGUCUCCUCCUAAAGAGUAACGGAGGAGCACGAAGGUUGGCUAAUCCUGGUCGGACAUCAGGAGGUUAGUGCAAUGGCAUAAGCCAGCUUGACUGCGAGCGUGACGGCGCGAGCAGGUGCGAAAGCAGGUCAUAGUGAUCCGGUGGUUCUGAAUGGAAGGGCCAUCGCUCAACGGAUAAAAGGUACUCCGGGGAUAACAGGCUGAUACCGCCCAAGAGUUCAUAUCGACGGCGGUGUUUGGCACCUCGAUGUCGGCUCAUCACAUCCUGGGGCUGAAGUAGGUCCCAAGGGUAUGGCUGUUCGCCAUUUAAAGUGGUACGCGAGCUGGGUUUAGAACGUCGUGAGACAGUUCGGUCCCUAUCUGCCGUGGGCGCUGGAGAACUGAGGGGGGCUGCUCCUAGUACGAGAGGACCGGAGUGGACGCAUCACUGGUGUUCGGGUUGUCAUGCCAAUGGCACUGCCCGGUAGCUAAAUGCGGAAGAGAUAAGUGCUGAAAGCAUCUAAGCACGAAACUUGCCCCGAGAUGAGUUCUCCCUGAGACUUUAAGUCUCCUGAAGGAACGUUGAAGACGACGACGUUGAUAGGCCGGGUGUGUAAGCGCAGCGAUGCGUUGAGCUAACCGGUACUAAUGAACCGUGAGGCUUAACCUU